This 441-nucleotide ribosomal RNA is filed under the name uncultured bacterium. RNAcentral describes it as "bacterial SSU rRNA". It matches the Rfam family "Bacterial small subunit ribosomal RNA", at positions 8 to 447 of the family's 1533-position model. The record is from RNAcentral.
AGAGUUUGAUCCUGGCUCAGAACGAACGCUGGCGGCAUGCCUAACACAUGCAAGUCGAACGCUCUUGGGGCUUCGGUUCCAAGGGAGUGGCGCACGGGUGAGUAGCGCGUGGGAACCUGCCCUGUUGUGGGGGAUAACCGAGGGAAACUUCGGCUAAUACCGCAUACGCCCGGCGGACCUCGAAAGGGGGAAACCGGGGAAAGAUUUAUCGCAGCAGGAGGGGCCCGCGUCGGAUUAGCUAGUUGGUGGGGUAACGGCCUACCAAGGCUUUGAUCCGUAGCUGGUCUGAGAGGAUGAUCAGCCACACUGGGACUGAGACACGGCCCAGACUCCUACGGGAGGCAGCAGUGGGGAAUAUUGGACAAUGGGCGCAAGCCUGAUCCAGCAAUGCCGCGUGAGUGAUGAAGGCCUUCGGGUUGUAAAGCUCUUUCGCCUGCGAGG